RNAcentral lists this ribosomal RNA (1130 nucleotides) under human gut metagenome. RNAcentral describes it as "bacterial LSU rRNA". It matches the Rfam family "Bacterial large subunit ribosomal RNA", at positions 1345 to 2494 of the family's 2925-position model. The record is from RNAcentral.
CUAAGGUUUCCAGAGUAAAGCUGAUCUGCUCUGGGUAAGUCGGGGCCUAAGGCCAGGUCGAAAGACGUAACCGAUGGACAACAGGUUGAAAUUCCUGUACCUUAAGUAAACAGAACUGUGGGGACACGUGUGGAGAGCACAAGCCGGAAAUGGAAAAGCCGGUGCAAGCGGGGUAGGAGUACAGUAGGCAAAUCCGCUGUACAAUCCGAAGACGUGAUGCGGACCGAAUUAAGAGUAGGGAAGUGUGUGAGCCAUGCGUCAAGAAAAGCCGCUAUUGUUUUACUUAAGCCCGUACCGUAAACCGACACAGGUGGAUGAGGAGAGAAUCCUAAGGCCGACGGGAGAAGCAUUGUUAAGGAACUCGGCAAAAUGACUCCGUAACUUCGGGAGAAGGAGUGCCAGCGAGAGCUGGCCGCAGAGAAUUGGCCCAAGCAACUGUUUAGCAAAAACACAGGUCUAUGCAAAACCGUAAGGUGAAGUAUAUGGGCUGACGCCUGCCCGGUGCUGGAAGGUUAAGAGGAGAGGUUAGCGUAAGCGAAGCUUUGAAUUUAAGCCCCAGUAAACGGCGGCCGUAACUAUAACGGUCCUAAGGUAGCGAAAUUCCUUGUCAGGUAAGUUCUGACCCGCACGAAAGGUGUAAUGAUUUGAGCACUGUCUCGACAACACGCCCGGUGAAAUUGAAGAACCAGUGAAGAUACUGGUUACCCGCAACAGGACGGAAAGACCCCAUGGAGCUUUACUGCAGCCUGAUACUGGGAUUCGAUGAUAUAUGUACAGGAUAGGUGGGAGGCUAAGAAGCGAGAACGCUAGUUUUCGUGGAGCCGCCGGUGGGAUACCACUCUUAUGUCAUUGAAUUUCUAACCUGCAUCCGUAAUCCGGGUGAGGGACAAUGUCAGGCGGGCAGUUUGACUGGGGCGGUCGCCUCCUAAAAGGUAACGGAGGCGCUCGAAGGUCACCUCAGAAUGAUUGGAAACCAUUCAAAGAGUGUAAAGGCAAAAGGUGGCUUGACUGCGAGAGCGACGGCUCGAGCAGGUACGAAAGUAGGACUUAGUGAUCCGGUGGUAUUAAGUGGGAAUGCCAUCGCUCAACGGAUAAAAGCUACCCUGGGGAUAACAGGCUUAUCACUCCCA